CGGACGGGUGAGUAAUGUCUGGGAAACUGCCUGAUGGAGGGGGAUAACUACUGGAAACGGUAGCUAAUACCGCAUAAUGUCGCAAGACCAAANAGGGGGACCUUCGGCCUCUUGCCAUCGGAUGUGCCCAGAUGGGAUUAGCUUGUUGGUGGGGUAACGGCUCACCAAGGCGACGAUCCCUAGCUGGUCUGAGAGGAUGACCAGCCACACUGGAACUGAGACACGGUCCAGACUCCUACGGGAGGCAGCAUG
This 252-nucleotide ribosomal RNA is filed under the name uncultured bacterium. RNAcentral's name for it is "partial 16S ribosomal RNA". It matches the Rfam family "Bacterial small subunit ribosomal RNA", at positions 99 to 353 of the family's 1533-position model. The record is from RNAcentral.